CAACAUUUUUACGUCCGUAUGUGACGUCACUGCGGACGUGUGAAUGAGAUGUGGACGAAUGGGGAGGUGAAUAGACGCAGUAAAGAUGAGCGUUCUGAAGGAUCUCAAGUGCUUUACGGUGAGGGGGUUGGACACUCAUCUCAACCACCAACCAGUGUGUAGCAACCGUUUGGGUAAAGCAAGGCAGCCAUUUUGAACCGGAGCACUUACCACACGGCUGCUGCAGGUGAUCGCCCAUUGUGAGUGAGCCUCUGCUGCUGUCCAUGGUGCUGAAAGCCUCAGAUUUUGGGAGACGGCUGGAAUUCCUAAUGGUGGCCAAAAGAGAAGGGGGAGCCCCUCCCCUCUUCCUCCCCAACCCAAACCGCCAUCACAUUUCCCUUAUUGCUCAAAGGUAAGCUGAUUUCGGGGGGUAAUGUUCCCCUUAAUUAAGAAUUAAUACGAGAACGCGGUCCGCAAUAUGAACUGCCAACAUAAAGACAUGCUGUGCGGCUGUGGCUGAGAGCGACUUGCUGUAUGUGUUUGGGCAAAUUGCUGCGUUUCACAGAUGGAUGGUUGCCUGGGGGUCACUGUUAUGAAAUAAUCUUCAUAUGUGCUGCUGUGAAGCCUAGCUAACUCUGGUGCUCUAGCGCAGACACGUCCAGGCCGACAACUACGCACGCCGAGAGAGGAGCAGCAUGAUGUAACAUGCAACAGACAUUUGGCAUAUCGCGCUUACUCCACUGCCAGGCUUCGGAUCAGAACGGACUCAUUAAUUACACCGUUGAGAGUAUUUAUAUUUCCCUGUUCUUGUCAGAGGCGAGCGUGAUGAACUGUCCACCCAGAGGUUGUUAUUGUAAUUGGCAUUUUAAAAUGGCAAUUAGCACAACAACAAAAAAAAAAGUUAAAUUUGAGAUUGCAGUGCAAGACUCACGUUGCUGUCCAACAAGGUAAGUUGUCAUUUCACAAGAAUAUCAAUGAAACACUUGUGAUGCUACUUGUUGAUGCUCGCUUGUCUGUGCUUACGUGUCUUGUAUGUUCUUUUAUGCUGCUCGUAAUGCAUCUUGUUAAUGCUCAAUAGUUUUUUACUCAUUUGUCUGUGCUUAUGUGUUAUGUAUGUUCUUUUAUGUUCCUUAAACCAUCAACCUGCCCAGGGACUACAGAUGAAAAUUAGCCUGUAUGAGUAAAUGUGGCACAUUUACAUGAUGCAUCUAAGUUCUCAUGUUUAUUAAUGUGCACUGUCCCUUUCUUAAAUAAAAAAAAUAUCUGCCACUUCUAGAUGACUGGAUGAUUGCUGUCUUUCUUGGAGGCUCAUCUUGUUUGGGUACCCAUUGUUAUCCUGUUAAUGUAUCAUCACUUGGUUAUUUAUUAAAAAAAACCCAUUUUAUUUUAUUUUUUUACUUUGGAGUACUGAACUGUUUCUUGUGUCUUCUCCUUGUUGUAGUGUCCUCAGUGAAAUCCUGGAGAGCGAAGAUGGGCACUUUCUGACUCCUGCGGACCAAUAAAAUAAUCCCAUUCACUCCUGCAGACCAAUGAGAUAAUGCCACUGACUCCUGCUGACCAGUGAGAUAAUCCCAUUCACUCCUGCUGACCAAUGAGAUAAUCCCACUCACGCAUGCAAACCAGUGAGAUUAUCCCGCUGAUUUGUGAACACCAAUGAGAUAAUCCUGUUGAUUUGUGAGCUCCCUCCUUGGCCAAUGGCAGUUGUUCACUGCGGUUGUUAGCCACAGUUUGUCGUUUCUCUGCGUUGAGCCUUCUCCAAUAAAAGCUGAAUGGGAAACAUUAAUGCCAUGAAGGUAAGUGGAGUAUUAUUUUGUUCUGUGUAGAAUCACAUGCGUGUUCUGUUCUCUCUGCAGAAGCCCUUCUGGUUCAGCCUGCCACGCCCAGCCCUGUGUCAGAGAACAGGAGAGACUCAACUUCCUGGAUCCUCUGUCCAUGCGAAAUACAGCAUUAUACACAGGAGGUCCAGGGAGCUGUGACAUGCGAGAAGGCAUCAGCAGUGAUUGGUUCCAGCCAUUGUCCUAUGAGCUGUCACAGGGGAGAUGCAUGCGCAUAAGACUCAUCCGAUGGAAAGACUGCGGCCAGCAGGAGGACUUACAAGCAACAACAAAAAAAGAAUCAUAGCUGACAACCCUUUCUUUCUUUGGAAGAGAGUGCAUGCUUGUUGCUCUUCUGAAAUUGGUGGAGGACAUUGCAUUGCAUUACAAGCAUUUAGAAGACGCUCUUAUCCAGAGUGACUUAUACAACUUCUGUAUAUUGCAUCCUUUUGUACAUACACAGUUCCUUACCCAUUAUACUACACUGCCACCCUAUCACACCAGUGAGGCGGGCCCAUGAAUGGAAAUGGACUUUUGAAAUUUGAAGGAAAUAGAUAAGUUAAGGUUGCAGAAUUGGCCCUUUGAGGAAAGGAUCACAGACAAAAUAAGUUGAUCAAUUUCUCAUAAUCAGAGAGGGUAAGCAAUGCCCCCUAGUGGUUAAUAUUGUCCUGAAUUUAGCACAUGAUUGAACAUCAAAGCAAGAUAGAAAGCAAGUCUUGGAAACACUGCCCUAGAAACAGUUGCAAGGUUGCUGAAAUUUAAAUAAAUUAAAUAGAAGCAUGCACAUGCAUUAGAGUUAAUGCAAAAUUAGGCUUACAGUAUGUUUAGGCAUAAGGGAAAGGUUAGUCCCUCAUGUGGUUGGCCAAAAUGUUUGUUCACUAUUUUGCUCACUUAACCUUAAGCCUAAUAUAUGAUUUUUCAUUUUUCAGUUAUAUAUCAAAAAUGACAUUCUUUUGUUAAAAAAUACUGAUAUUUGAGUUGACUGCUAGGGCUAAAACUAGAAUUUCUAGGAUUCGCAGUAGAAUCCUAUCUGGCCCACUGUUGCCCGGGUACUUUACAGCUGUUAGUCCGGCUGCUGUGUGUGUGUUGGUGUACAGACUGUCUGUUUCUAUGGUGAACAGGAUGACUUCCUGUUGUAUUUUUAUAUUUUUUAUUUUGUUGAUAAAAUCAUAUGGGUCUUUGAUGUAGCUGGUGUGUUUUGUGGAUAGUGCACUGUGAAAAUAAUGUGUGUAUUCAGCCAUCCCUGUAGGAUUCACUUUUGAAUUCAAUCUGAAAAAAAUGGAUCCCCUCUGCUGGUGCCUCAUUUUGUAUGCUCCAGGACUGCAGUGGCUUGUGUAUCUUGGGGGGAGUGGUGGAAAAUCCUAUGUCUGGGUUUGUCCUCGGCCCUCAGUUCUUUGUUCUUUAAUUAUUUCUGUAUUUUCUAAAACCGACUGUAUGAUGUUCAGUAGUUCCGAAGCUGUGUCAGGUUAUGUUUGGGUGCAUAAAAAUAAUUGUAACAUGA
Anguilla rostrata (American eel) is the source of this 3294-nucleotide long non-coding RNA. RefSeq lists it as uncharacterized. Lineage: Eukaryota; Metazoa; Chordata; Actinopteri; Anguilliformes; Anguillidae. The transcript has 4 exons. The record is from RefSeq and is a predicted model, not a curated record.